This 498-nucleotide ribosomal RNA is filed under the name uncultured bacterium. RNAcentral's name for it is "partial 16S ribosomal RNA". It matches the Rfam family "Bacterial small subunit ribosomal RNA", at positions 28 to 507 of the family's 1533-position model. The record is from RNAcentral.
GACGAACGCUGGCGGCAUGCCUAAUACAUGCAAGUUGAACGAUGAUAUUCUCUGCUUGCAGAGAAUUGAAGAGUAGCGAACGGGUGAGUAACACGUGGGGAACCUGCCCAUGAGAGGGGGAUAACAUUCGGAAACGGAUGCUAAUACCGCAUAAUGCUUUGGACCGCCUGGUCCAGAGACGAAAGACGGCUUUUGCUGUCACUCAUGGAUGGCCCCGCGCCGUAUUAGCUAGUUGGUGAGGUAAUGGCUCACCAAAGCUGUGAUACGUAGCCGACCUGAGAGGGUGAUCGGCCACACUGGGACUGGGACACGGCCCAGACUCCUACGGGAGGCAGCAGUAGGGAAUCUUCCACAAUGGGCGAAAGCCUGAUGGAGCAAUGCCGCGUGAAUGAAGAAGGUCUUCGGAUCGUAAAGUUCUGUUAUUAGAGAAGAACAAGUCAAGGAGUAACUGUCUUGACUUUGACGGUACCUAACCAGAAAGUCACGGCUAACUACGUG